UACGUAAGUCCCAAGCGUUACCCGGAAUUAUUGGGUGUAAAGGGUCCGUAGGCGGACUUGUAAGUUGAAUAUGAAAGACCGAGGCUCAACCUCGUGUUUGUAUUCAAAACUGCAAGUCUAGAAUUAGGGAGAGGUUAGCGGAAUUCUUAGUGUAGGGGUGCAAUCCGUAGAUACUAAGAGGAACACCAAAAGCGAAGGCAGCUAACUGGAACUAUAUUGACGCUCAGGGACGAAAGCGUGGGGAGCAAAGAGG
This 253-nucleotide ribosomal RNA is filed under the name uncultured bacterium. Its description in RNAcentral is "partial 16S ribosomal RNA". It matches the Rfam family "Bacterial small subunit ribosomal RNA", at positions 524 to 776 of the family's 1533-position model. The record is from RNAcentral.